This 676-nucleotide long non-coding RNA is filed under the name Homo sapiens (human). RNAcentral's name for it is "HSALNT0308678". Lineage: Eukaryota; Metazoa; Chordata; Mammalia; Primates; Hominidae. The record is from RNAcentral.
GUGCACGAUGCUUUUCAACUCUGUCUUCAGGGACUUCAGGAGCACUGCUUAAAACCGGCCUUGGUGAGGAGGGAUUUAUUUCAUUUGCUCCUGAAGUUAAAUCUCAUGAAAUCAUGUGAAAUUCAGUGAUGUGUUACUGGGAACAAAAAGGGUUACGUUAUUAAUUGUGAUGCCUUCCCACAAGAGCUGUGUCUGUACUGUGCCACAUAACCCCUGAAGCUGAAUAAAGAACUUUCUCCUUGAUUCCCCCAGCCCUCCAAAAACAUCAGCAGGUGAUGAGGUCCCAUUGUAAAUGACCCAAGGACAAACAGCUCAUGACUUCAAAGGAGGCCUCUUCAACCCAGGGCAAAUUCAGGCCUUCAUUCCAGGGGUCUGUAAGCAAGUACUGAGUGAAGAGAUAUCCUAAAAUCAAUCGUUCCUCUUUGCCAACCCUGGAUAAUGGCAACAACUUCUUUAGUGGCAUGCUGCAUGCUCUGUUUGGUCAUGUCCAGAGAUACCCAAGAUAAAGAAGUUUGAUAAAUAUACACAUUAACUCAGCAAAAAUAACAUGGUUAUUUUCAUGAAUAUUGCACUUGGGCACAUCAGCAAAAUUCAAAAGUGAUAAAAGGAGUUGGUGACACUUACCAGAAUGGGUCCUGAGGUGUCCUGUGAGGGCGUCCCUUCUUCUACAGGCGUA